Molecule: transfer RNA, 76 nt
Filed under: Alphaproteobacteria bacterium
Lineage: Bacteria; Pseudomonadati; Pseudomonadota; Alphaproteobacteria
Description: tRNA-Glu
Rfam family: tRNA
About the family: Transfer RNA (tRNA) molecules are approximately 80 nucleotides in length.
Source: RNAcentral
GCCCCCAUCGUCUAGUGGCCUAGGACGUCGCCCUCUCACGGCGAAAACAGGGGUUCGAGUCCCCUUGGGGGCGCCA